This 200-nucleotide unclassified non-coding RNA is filed under the name soil metagenome. RNAcentral describes it as "partial internal transcribed spacer 2". The record is from RNAcentral.
UUAAGUUCAGCGGGUAUCCUCGUCUGAUCUGAGGUCAAACUUCAAAAAAAGAUUUGUUCAGGCGGAAAACCCCAACCGGUCGCAGCUCAACAAUGUGGUAAUUUUACUAUGUUUCGCUGGACAAGAGGGUCCGCAGAGCGUGCAACUUUAAAGCCGGUUCCGAGCAAGUCGGGGCAACCAAGCCCAGCACCGGCAGGAAA